This 253-nucleotide ribosomal RNA is filed under the name uncultured bacterium. RNAcentral describes it as "partial 16S ribosomal RNA". It matches the Rfam family "Bacterial small subunit ribosomal RNA", at positions 524 to 776 of the family's 1533-position model. The record is from RNAcentral.
UACGUAGGCAGCGAGCGUUGUUCGGAAUUACUGGGCGUAAAGAGUGUGUAGGCGGUGCUCCCAGUCUGUUGUGAAAUCUCCCGGCUUAACUGGGAGGGUGCAGCGGAAACUAGAGUGCUAGAGGGUGGGAGAGGUAAGCGGAAUUCCUGGUGUAGCGGUGAAAUGCGUAGAUAUCAGGAGGAACACCAGUGGCGAAGGCGACUACCUGGCCUGUUCUUGACGCUGAGGCGCGAAAGCUAGGGGAGCAAACGGG